This 253-nucleotide ribosomal RNA is filed under the name uncultured bacterium. Its description in RNAcentral is "partial 16S ribosomal RNA". It matches the Rfam family "Bacterial small subunit ribosomal RNA", at positions 524 to 776 of the family's 1533-position model. The record is from RNAcentral.
GACGAACCGAGCGAACGUUGUUCGGAAUCACUGGGCUUAAAGGGCGCGUAGGCGGACUAUCAAGUCUGGGGUGAAAUCCCGCGGCUCAACCGUGGAACUGCCUCAGAUACUGACGGUCUCGAGGGAGGUAGGGGCAUGCGGAACUGUAGGUGGAGCGGUGAAAUGCGUUGAUAUCUACAGGAACUCCGGUGGCGAAAGCGGCGUGCUGGACCUCUUCUGACGCUGAUGCGCGAAAGCCAGGGGAGCAAACAGG